AGAGUUUGAUCAUGGCUCAGGACGAACGCUGGCGGCGUGCUUAACACAUGCAAGUCGAACGGAAAGGCCCUUCGGGGUACUCGAGUGGCGAACGGGUGAGUAACACGUGGGUGAUCUGCCCUGCACUUUGGGAUAAGCCUGGGAAACUGGGUCUAAUAUCGAAUAGGACCACGCGCUUCAUGGUGUGUGGUGGAAAGCUUUUGCGGUGUGGGAUGGGCCCGCGGCCUAUCAGCUUGUUGGUGGGGUAAUGGCCUACCAAGGCGACGACGGGUAGCCGGCCUGAGAGGGUGACCGGCCACACUGGGACUGAGAUACGGCCCAGACUCCUACGGGAGGCAGCAGUGGGGAAUAUUGCACAAUGGGCGCAAGCCUGAUGCAGCGACGCCGCGUGAGGGAUGACGGCCUUCGGGUUGUAAACCUCUUUCAAUAGGGACGAAGCGCAAGUGACGGUACCUAUAGAAGAAGCACCGGCCAACUACGUGCCAGCAGCCGCGGUAAUACGUAGGGUGCGAGCGUUGUCCGGAAUUACUGGGCGUAAAGAGCUCGUAGGUGGUUUGUCACGUUGUCCGUGAAAACUCACAGCUUAACUGUGGGCGUGCGGGCGAUACGGGCAGACUGGAGUACUGUAGGGGAGACUGGAAUUCCUGGUGUAGCGGUAGAAUGCGCAGAUAUCAGGAGGAACACCGGUGGCGAAGGCGGGUCUCUGGGCAGUAACUGACGCUGAGGAGCGAAAGCGUGGGGAGCGAACAGGAUUAGAUACCCUGGUAGUCC
Molecule: ribosomal RNA, 771 nt
Filed under: uncultured bacterium
Lineage: Bacteria
Description: bacterial SSU rRNA
Rfam family: Bacterial small subunit ribosomal RNA
Source: RNAcentral